GCCUCCGUAGCUUAACAAAAGCACUG
This 26-nucleotide transfer RNA is filed under the name Uta stansburiana. Its description in RNAcentral is "tRNA-Thr". Lineage: Eukaryota; Metazoa; Chordata; Lepidosauria; Squamata; Phrynosomatidae. The record is from RNAcentral.